CCCGCGGCGACCCACCCCAGCGGCCAGUGCCCCGCUCCCCCCCGGAGCCCCGCGGUAGCCCGGGGGAGACCCCCAGCAUGAGAGAUUUCAGCGCGAGCCGUCGGAGUCUGGCGGACGGGGUCUGGCGGCAGCGGGGAGCCACCGGCCACGUGCACCCGACCGGCCGCCGCGGCGCUGCCCGGGAGCCCCCAUCCCGGUGGCAGCCGGCCAGGGGACGAGGAUGCCCCAUCCCAGUGGGAGCUGGGCCAGAGCUCGCUCCGCGAGGUCCUUGGACGGCGAUAGCAUCUGGCUCAAGGGCGAGGGUGUAAAAAACAACAACAAAAAAGGCCAACGCAGAAAGAAGCCCAAGGAAAGCCGCAGCGGAGCUGCGCGUAUUGCUGUCUGCAUCCUUUUAAAGUGACCUGUGGGAAAAAUAAA
Molecule: long non-coding RNA, 417 nt
Organism: Rhea pennata
Lineage: Eukaryota; Metazoa; Chordata; Aves; Rheiformes; Rheidae
Exons: 3
Source: RefSeq, a predicted model, not a curated record